This 253-nucleotide ribosomal RNA is filed under the name uncultured bacterium. RNAcentral describes it as "partial 16S ribosomal RNA". It matches the Rfam family "Bacterial small subunit ribosomal RNA", at positions 524 to 776 of the family's 1533-position model. The record is from RNAcentral.
UACGGGGGGGGCAAGCGUUGUUCGGAAUUACUGGGCGUAAAGGGCUCGUAGGUGGCCAACUAAGUCGGACGUGAAAUCCCUCGGCUUAACCGGGGAACUGCGUCCGAUACUGGAUGACUUGAGUUCGGGAGAGGGAUGCGGAAUUCCAGGUGUAGCGGUGAAAUGCGUAGAUAUCUGGAGGAACACCGGUGGCGAAGGCGGCAUCCUGGACCGACACUGACGCUGAGGAGCGAAAGCCAGGGGAGCAAACGGG